GACGAACGCUGGCGGCGUGCUUAACACAUGCAAGUCGAGCGGUAAGGCCCUUUCGGGGGUACACGAGCGGCGAACGGGUGAGUAACACGUGGGUGACCUGCCCUCAGCUCUGGGAUAAGCCUGGGAAACCGGGUCUAUACCGGAUAUGACUCCAUGACGCAUGUUGUGGGGUGGAAAGCCUUGUGCGGGCUGAGGAUGGGCCCGCGGCCUAUCAGCUUG
Molecule: ribosomal RNA, 219 nt
Filed under: uncultured bacterium
Lineage: Bacteria
Description: partial 16S ribosomal RNA
Rfam family: Bacterial small subunit ribosomal RNA
Source: RNAcentral